GGCGAACGCUGGCGGCGUGCUUAACACAUGCAAGUCGAACGGAAAGGCCCUGCUUUUGUGGGGUGCUCGAGUGGCGAACGGGUGAGUAACACGUGAGUAACCUGCCCUUGACUUUGGGAUAACUUCAGGAAACCGGGGCUAAUACCGGAUAGGAGCUCCUGCUGCAUGGUGGGGGUUGGAGAGUUUCGGCGGUUGGGGAUGGACUCGCGGCUUAUCAGCUUGUUGGUGGGGUAGUGGCUUACCAAGGCUUUGACGGGUAGCCGGCCUGAGAGGGUGACCGGCCACAUUGGGACUGAGAUACGGCCCAGACUCCUACGGGAGGCAGCAGUGGGGAAUAUUGCACAAUGGGCGGAAGCCUGAUGCAGCAACGCCGCGUGCGGGAUGACGGCCUUCGGGUUGUAAACCGCUUUCGCCUGUGACGAAGCGUGAGUGACGGUAAUGGGUAAAGAAGCACCGGCUAACUACGUG
RNAcentral lists this ribosomal RNA (468 nucleotides) under uncultured bacterium. Its description in RNAcentral is "partial 16S ribosomal RNA". It matches the Rfam family "Bacterial small subunit ribosomal RNA", at positions 28 to 507 of the family's 1533-position model. The record is from RNAcentral.